GACGAACGCUGGCGGCGUGCCUAAUGCAUGCAAGUAGAACGCUGAAGGAGGAGCUUGCUUCUCUGGAUGAGUUGCGAACGGGUGAGUAACGCGUAGGUAACCUGCCUGGUAGCGGGGGAUAACUAUUGGAAACGAUAGCUAAUACCGCAUAAUAGUAGAUGUUGCAUGACAUUUGCUUAAAAGGUGCAAUUGCAUCACUACCAGAUGGACCUGCGUUGUAUUAGCUAGUUGGUGAGGUAACGGCUCACCAAGGCAACGAUACAUAGCCGACCUGAGAGGGUGAUCGGCCACACUGGGACUGAGACACGGCCCAGACUCCUACGGGAGGCAGCAGUAGGGAAUCUUCGGCAAUGGACGGAAGUCUGACCGAGCAACGCCGCGUGAGUGAAGAAGGUUUUCGGAUCGUAAAGCUCUGUUGUAAGAGAAGAACGAGUGUGAGAGUGGAAAGUUCACACUGUGACGGUAUCUUACCAGAAAGGGACGGCUAACUACGUG
RNAcentral lists this ribosomal RNA (495 nucleotides) under uncultured bacterium. Its description in RNAcentral is "partial 16S ribosomal RNA". It matches the Rfam family "Bacterial small subunit ribosomal RNA", at positions 28 to 507 of the family's 1533-position model. The record is from RNAcentral.